Molecule: ribosomal RNA, 460 nt
Filed under: uncultured bacterium
Lineage: Bacteria
Description: partial 16S ribosomal RNA
Rfam family: Bacterial small subunit ribosomal RNA
Source: RNAcentral
ACUACGGGUGGCAGCAGUGAGGAAUAUUGGUCAAUGGGCGCGAGCCUGAACCAGCCAAGUAGCGUGAAGGAUGACUGCCCUACGGGUUGUAAACUUCUUUUAUAAAAGAAUAAAGUGAGGCACGUGUGCCUGUUUGUAUGUACUUUAUGAAUAAGGAUCGGCUAACUCCGUGCCAGCAGCCGCGGUAAUACGGAGGAUCCGAGCGUUAUCCGGAUUUAUUGGGUUUAAAGGGGGCGUAGAUGGGGUGUUAAGUCAGUGGUUAAAGUUUGCGGCUCAACCGUAAAAUUACAAUUGAUACUGGCAGUCUUGAGUACAGUUGAGGUAGGCGGAAUUCGUGGUGUAGCGGUGAAAUGCUUAGAUAUCACGAAGAACUCCGAUUGCGAAGGCAGCUUACUAAACUGCCACUGACAUUGAUGCUCGAAAGUGUGGGUAUCAAACAGGAUUAGAUACCCCUGUAGUC